Molecule: ribosomal RNA, 1347 nt
Filed under: uncultured bacterium
Lineage: Bacteria
Description: 16S ribosomal RNA
Rfam family: Bacterial small subunit ribosomal RNA
Source: RNAcentral
GAUGAACGCUGGCGGCGUGCUUAACACAUGCAAGUCGAACGGAAAGGCUCCUGCUUGCAGGGGUACUCGAGUGGCGAACGGGUGAGUAACACGUGGGUGAUCUGCCCUGCACUUCGGGAUAAGCCUGGGAAACUGGGUCUAAUACCGGAUAGGACGAUGGUUUGGAUGCCAUUGUGGAAAGUUUUUUCGGGGGGAAAUAAGCUCCCGGCCUAUCACCUUGUUGGGGGGGUAAGGGCCUACCAAGGCGUCAACGGUUACCCGGCCUGAAAGGGGGUACGGCCCCUUUGGAACUGAAAUACGGCCCAAACUCCUACGGAAGGCGGCAGGGGGAAAUAUUGCACAAGGGGCCCAAGCCUGAUGCACCAACCCCCCGGGGGGAAUAACGGCCUUCGGGUUGUAAACUCCCUUCGCUAGGGACAAACCGUUUUGUGACGGUACCUGAAAAAAAACCACCGGUUAAUUACUUGCCACCACCCGCGGAAAUACUUAGGGGGCAAGCGUUGUCCGAAAUUACGGGGCGUAAAAAGCUCGUAGGUGGUUUGUCGCGUCGUUUGUGUAAGCCCGCAGCCUUACCUGCGGGACUGCAGGCGAUACGGGCAUAACUUGAGCGCUGUAGGGGAGACUGGAAUUCCUGGUGUAGCGGUGGAAUGCGCAGAUAUCAGGAGGAACACCGAUGGCGAAGGCAGGUCUCUGGGCAGUAACUGACGCUGAGGAGCGAAAGCAUGGGUAGCGAACAGGAUUAGAUACCCUGGUAGUCCAUGCCGUAAACGGUGGGCGCUAGGUGUGAGUCCCUUCCACGGGGUUCGUGCCGUAGCUAACGCAUUAAGCGCCCCGCCUGGGGAGUACGGCCGCAAGGCUAAAACUCAAAGGAAUUGACGGGGGCCCGCACAAGCGGCGGAGCAUGUGGAUUAAUUCGAUGCAACGCGAAGAACCUUACCUGGGCUUGACAUACACCAGACCGGGCCAGAGAUGGUCUUUCCCUUUGUGGUUGGUGUACAGGUGGUGCAUGGUUGUCGUCAGCUCGUGUCGUGAGAUGUUGGGUUAAGUCCCGCAACGAGCGCAACUCUUGUCUCAUGUUGCCAGCACGUUAUGGUGGGGACUCGUGAGAGACUGCCGGGGUUAACUCGGAGGAAGGUGGGGAUGACGUCAAAUCUUCAUGCCCCUUAUGUCCAGGGCUUCACACAUGCUACAAUGGUCGGUACAACGCGUUCCGCGAGCCUGUGAGGGUGAGCUAAUCGCUGUAAAGCCGGUCGUAGUUCGGAUUGGGGUCUGCAACUCGACCCCAUGAAGUCGGAGUCGCUAGUAAUCGCAGAUCAGCAACGCUGCGGUGAAUACGUUCCCGGGCCU